CACUUCUUCUCUUUAAUUCCAGGAACCUAUCAAACACAAAGCUCAUAUGGUAUAAAAUAUCAGGUACAUAAUAGUUUACACACUGUGUGUCGUAGCAGUGAAGCUAGUAUGGAUAAAAAAUGCUACUAUAAGCAACAAAAUUCUUAAUUAAGUGAACAAAUUUGCAAGGAGAAAAAACUUAUUAAAUAUGGAGGUUCCACUUCCAACCUUGGAUGCUACAAUACAACAUUGUUUUCUUCAUUCAAGAAAGGGAUAGUCCGUAUAACCUACAACCGGAUCAGAAGUGUAGAAUGUCUCCCUGUUAUAUUUAUUGAGAGGAGCGUUUAGUGCAAAUCUCUUCGGCAAAUCUGGAUUCGCUA
RNAcentral lists this long non-coding RNA (359 nucleotides) under Medicago truncatula (barrel medic). RNAcentral describes it as "lncRNA gene28231". Lineage: Eukaryota; Viridiplantae; Streptophyta; Magnoliopsida; Fabales; Fabaceae. The record is from RNAcentral.